This 286-nucleotide ribosomal RNA is filed under the name uncultured fungus. Its description in RNAcentral is "partial contains 18S ribosomal RNA, internal transcribed spacer 1 and 5.8S ribosomal RNA". The record is from RNAcentral. Lineage: Eukaryota; Fungi.
CAUUAUCGAAAAGCAAUCCGGGGGGGAAGACGACCGAGCGAAGUUUGGUAGAUCGUAGGGAUUGUCGCUGGCCUUCGGAAACGAAGGCAUGUGCACGUUCCGAGUUCUCCUUAGUCCUCGUUCGCUUCUCCUUUGGAAACCUUUCUUAACACCUGUGCACCUGUUGUAGGUCCCGCGAGGGAUCUAUGUUUUUAUCUACCCCAAACGUAUGUCUUAGAAUGUCCUUAAUGCGUCGAUCGGCCUGGCUAACGCCUCGUCGGCGACGGUAAAGAAUCAUACAACUUUC